GUGGUUGCUAGGCAGUUGCUAACGUUUUCCAGGUGGUUGCUAAGUGGUUGCUAGGCAGUUGCUAACAUAUUCCAGAUGGUUGCUGAGCGGUUGUGAUCAUUUCUAAAGUGGUUGCUAGGCAGUUGCUAAUGUUUACCAGGUGGUUGCUAAGAUGUUGAUAACUGGUUGCUAGGUUGUUGCUAUCAUUUCUGAAAUGGUUGAAGUAGAGAAAAAGAGAGAGUGUUAAAUGUAGAAGUACAGAAAAAGGGAGAGCAAGAAAUAAAGAAGUAGGGAGAAAAUCGCGAGAAAAAGAGAAAGAACACGCGAGAAUGUGAGAAAAAGAGUGAAAAGUUGAGAGAAAUAUUGAGCGAGAAAAAGAGAAUUAGAGAAAAAGGGACAUCGAGAAAUAAAGAAGUAGAGAAAGAAAGAGGAUGUAGUAGAGAGAUAGAUAGAAAGAGAAAGCAAGACAUAGAAAAGUAGAGUGAAAGAGAAGUAGAGAGAAGAGCGAGAAAUAAAGAAAGAGUAAGAGAGAAUAGAGAAAUAGAAAAGUAGCGAGAAAGAGAAAUUGAGACGUAGAGAGAGAGUGAGAAAGAGAGAAAGAGUGAGAAAUAGAGAAGUAGAGAGUAAAAGAGAGAGUGAGAAAUAGAGACGUAGAGAGAGAGUGAGAAAGAGUGAGAAAUUCAGAAGUAGAGUGAGAAAGAGUGUGAGAAAUAGAGAAGUAGAGAGCAAAAGAGGGUGAGAAAUAGAGAAGUAGAGAGCAAAAGAGAGUGAGAAAUAGAGAAGUAGAGAGAGAGUGAGAAAGAGAGAAAGAGAGAGUGAGAAAUAAAGAAAUGUAAAGAGCAAAAGAGAGAGUGAGAAAUAGAGA
This is a long non-coding RNA of Astyanax mexicanus (Mexican tetra), 844 nucleotides long. RefSeq lists it as uncharacterized. The transcript is spliced from 2 exons. Lineage: Eukaryota; Metazoa; Chordata; Actinopteri; Characiformes; Acestrorhamphidae. The record is from RefSeq and is a predicted model, not a curated record.